Molecule: long non-coding RNA, 3342 nt
Organism: Acinonyx jubatus (cheetah)
Lineage: Eukaryota; Metazoa; Chordata; Mammalia; Carnivora; Felidae
Exons: 2
Source: RefSeq, a predicted model, not a curated record
GGGAAUAGUGAGGUCUCAGACCCCACCUUGCUUUGAGGAGCCAUGGAAAAUCUCUUGGGUUCCUCAGAGGAUUCUGCAAGGACAGGACAGGUGAUGAGCUGCUAUUCCAUGACCCACCUGAGUACGAAGCCGCCUCCUAAGACCAACUAGAGGCCAACGACGAUCCAAAAGUGAUUUUAGAGCUUAUUGCCGAAACGUUCUCUCGAGACCUGGAGUGUUACUUUCUGCCUGUGGCUGUUCCUGGAGCAGAAGAAUAGGUGAUUGUCUCCAAGUGAGAUCACAUCUUCCGAGGGGGUCAGUGCUGGAGAAUCUUGGGCUGGAAGAAGACCGACUGGUGAGAGGACAAGUCUGGGCCAUCCGGCUGAACGGGAUCUCUUUGAAUUCUUGGAAGGUCUAUCCUUGCCUCAAUAUGAAGAACUGUGCAUUUGGGGGCUUUUUCCUAAGUCUGGACUGUUAAAUCAACAUUAGCAAAAUGCCACUUGCGGGGGAAAAAAAGAGGUUUUAAGUGGAGUCAUCGGUGGUUUUACUCUUCCAAAGUCUUCUGCUUAAAGUGAGGACCAAGAGUGCCACAGACUGUGUGCGUCUCCUAAAAGUUCGUCUGUUGGAAAGAGUCCUUAAAGUGAUUGGUGUUGGGAGGUGGGGCCUUAAGGAAGUGACGGGUUGUGAGGGUGGAGGCUUUGUGGGUGGGAUUAGUGCCCUCCAGAGCCCCUAACUUCGUCCGCCACACGAGCACGCAGAAGAAGGCGGCCACCUACGAACCAGGAAGAGAGUCCCCACUGAACACCCAGUCUGCCAGCAUCUUGACCUUGGACUUCCCAGCCGCCAGAACUGUGAGAAAUAAGUUUGCAUAGUUUACAAGCCCCUGGAGAUACGAUAUCGUCAUAGCAGCUCAAAAGGACGAAGACAAAGACAAGUGUUUCUGCUAUCAGGCGGCAGGUGCCAUUCGGCCAAAGCCCACGGUCUGCAAAAUCUGCACUCUGGAAACUGAGGUCACAGGAAAAAUAGAGUCCUAGCCAGACUAUUCAAAACCUACAUUGGGGCGCCUGGGUGGCUCAGUCGGUUGAGCGUCCAACUUCGGCUCAGGUCAUGAGCCGUCGCUAGGAGCGAGUCUCCGAUAGCAAAACAGCAGCAGACCGGCCAGCACCGCCCCCUCCAGGACUUCUUCAUGGCAGCCACGGUACCCUCCCGCAUCGUGGCGACCAUCCAGAAACAUCUGUGGAGCACACAGGGAUGCGCGGAUGCUGCUGACACCGCGGGGGAACGAAUACCCAGGAAAGCAAGACUCCCAUCAUCGGCAAAUCGUUGGGUGAGGGUGACAGACGACUAAAUCAGCGUGAGAUAACGGUCAGAAAGGAGAGGGGUGCUCGGUCUCACCAUCAUCCCAGACUCACCUAGAACACUGCCACCUGCUGGCUUGGGGGCAGUUCUGUGGAGCCGUUCCGGGCAAUGACUCCAGGUUUACAGCAGCUUCGAUUCACACACCGCCUCUCCCAGGGACGCUUAACCGAGUGACUCUCACGAUGCAUGCGCCUGUCUUCUAUAAGGCGGAGGUAAUAAUAAUAAAAAUAGUACUUGUCUCCUGCCGAGGGCGAAAGGAAAUACCGGGCAGAAAGCGCUCGGCACGGCGCCAACACCUGCCAGAGCCGAUUUCGCUCUCCCUCUGCAUUUGGGGACAGGCGGGACACGGGCAUCUCUGCCCACUCAGGCUACAGCACACAGUUCCUGGCACUCCAGGGGGUCAGCGGAGCGAGCGAAUUCCGACGGGCGUGAAUACGGCAUCUGAAAACUGCCGAGGACGAUUCUCUGUCUUCAUUUUGUCCGAUCCUCACAUUCUGACGAGGUGGCAGUGCCGGUGGCCGGGCUCCAUCCGCUGAUGACGACACCAAGCCUUGGACGAGGCAGCGUGUGGCCUGGAGCCACUCGGCCCGUCGGCAGGUGCACCGGGAUGCCCGGCCAGCCAGCCAGCCCCGUGCGCUCUGGGGGGACCCCACCCACGCCUGCGGAGGCUGGGCUGGCAAAGGGCUGGGCAACCCCGUCCACAUGCUGGACGACGGCGUUGAAACACUUCGGACCCCUGACACCUUGGGGUUUCUCGCACAAAAAUCCCAUCAGCUUGGCGUACCUGCAAAAAACUCCUAAGUGAGACAAGGCAGAAUUUUUAAACUGCAUUUCAGACCGUCCGUGUGGGAGGACGCAUUUUAGAGCACCUGUGGCGAUGACAUCAGGCUUCGUGGGACACUGAUUCUGGAAGGUUAAGAACCCCGAAAGGGGCUCCCACCGAGUCAUCGUUUGCCCACGGAGGGUUGUGUCGAAGGCCCUCACACGUGCCGUAGGCAACGCUCCGCCUUCUGUGUUUAACACCACAUAAUCCAUGGGGGUGGGGGCUCCGGAAGGCUCGGGGGCGGCUGGCCUGGGACUCCCUGUUAAAGCAGCAACUUCACAUCCUAAGAGCAGGUGCAGAGAUGUUCUAGUCGGAGGGCAUUUGGGGAAAUGACAGACCAUUGAAGAAAACAAUACCUCCCCCCAGGAUAAACAGCACUGAUUAUGGUGGUUUUCAGCGACUGUCCUACUUCAUGUUGACUGAAGUCAGGAGGGUGGGUCUGUCCACACUUCCAGCCCAGGAAACCUGCCUUCUCCCUGGAUGAAGGAUGAGGUAGCCAGGAAAGAUGACGAGGACACAGGACAGCCCAGCCAGCUGCUCCCUGCCGGAUGAGCGUCCCCCCGGGGGACCUGCCGUGGGGCCCAGCAAAGGCAGGGCGGCGAAUGCCCACCAUCUCCCCUUCAGCCAGGCCUUCACCUGACACCCUCUGUAUACGUCCUGUGUGCCGGGCGAUGUUCUGGGCUGGGGGGAAGGGAGAGGACGAGAGACCAAGCCCCUUCUAACCUGGGGCUCCUACUCAAGGAGGGUCAGGUAUCACCCCAAAACAAGCCACCAACAUUCAGGGAGGGGCAGCACCACACAGGAUUAAGAGGGGCCAGUCACACAGGGCCAGCUAGGAGUUUCCAGGAGCACCUGGAAGCUACUAGAAGCUGCAAGCAGAGAAGUGAAAUGAUCCAGCAAAUUUUAAAAUUAUAAAUCACCUGAUUUCAUUGCUCAACAAAUCCCAUGACUCCCUCUUCUCUGCUGAGGCAACUGAGGCUCGGAGCCAUGAGAUAAUGGUUCUGAGGGUCCCCAAAUCUAGAAGUGUCAAGGCCAAGGUCUGAACUCUGCACGCCUAAGACCCCUGCACUAUGACCCCCCACGUUCCACCUGCCCACUGUGGUCGUAGAAUCCCCAACUAGAACAACACUACUCACAGCCCCUACUCCCACCAAUAAACUCAGGACUAAUGGACCCGUUCA